Non-coding RNA from Phrynosoma platyrhinos (Desert horned lizard), 72 nucleotides. NCBI's taxonomy places the organism in Eukaryota, Metazoa, Chordata, Lepidosauria, Squamata, Phrynosomatidae. The record is from the annotation of a GenBank genome assembly.
GUCUACAUGGUUCAGUGGUUUGAGUGUUGGACUAAGACUCUGGAGAUCAGGGUUCAAAUCCCAUCUCAGCCA